Non-coding RNA from Pelobates cultripes (western spadefoot toad), 220 nucleotides. The record is from the annotation of a GenBank genome assembly. NCBI's taxonomy places the organism in Eukaryota, Metazoa, Chordata, Amphibia, Anura, Pelobatidae.
GCUGGUCAAAUGUGUCUACAAGGGUUCAAAUGCUAGCUUUACAAAAAGUGUCAGCAGAAACCAUUGACAUGGAAGCCCACAAUGCUGCAACAGCAUGAAUGGAGAGUCCCCUGAUACCUUCUGGCCCAGGUAGAGAAUGGCAUCAAUAAUCUUUUCCUUUUAGUCUGGACCUCAGAUGCCAAAUACAAGACAAUCAUAUCCUGUUGAAGAUCAGUGAAUG